GACGAACGCUGGCGGCGUGCUUAACACAUGCAAGUCGAGCGGUAAGGCCCCUUCGGGGGUACACGAGCGGCGAACGGGUGAGUAACACGUGGGUGACCUGCCCUCAGCUCUGGGAUAAGCCUGGGAAACUGGGUCUAAUACCGGAUAUGACUCCAUGACGCAUGUCGUGGGGUGGAAAGCCUUGUGCGGCUGGGGAUGGGCCCGCGGCCUAUCAGCUUGUUGGUGGGGUGAUGGCCUACCAAGGCGACGACGGGUAGCCGGCCUGAGAGGCGACCGGCCACACUGGGACUGAGACACGGCCCAGACUCCUACGGGAGGCAGCAGUGGGGAAUCUUGCGCAAUGGGCGAAAGCCUGACGCAGCGACGCCGCGUGAGGGAUGACGGCCGU
This 388-nucleotide ribosomal RNA is filed under the name uncultured bacterium. RNAcentral describes it as "bacterial SSU rRNA". It matches the Rfam family "Bacterial small subunit ribosomal RNA", at positions 28 to 418 of the family's 1533-position model. The record is from RNAcentral.